GCUCCUACCGAUUGAGUGAUUCGGUGAAUAAUUCGGACUGCAGCAAUGUUUGGAUCCCGAACGUUGCAGCGGAAAGUUUAGUGAACCUCAUCACUUAGAGGAAGGAGAAGUCGUAACAAGGAUUCCGUAG
RNAcentral lists this ribosomal RNA (130 nucleotides) under Gymnodinium catenatum. RNAcentral describes it as "partial small subunit ribosomal RNA". It matches the Rfam family "Eukaryotic small subunit ribosomal RNA", at positions 1678 to 1808 of the family's 1831-position model. The record is from RNAcentral. Lineage: Eukaryota; Dinophyceae; Gymnodiniales; Gymnodiniaceae.